AAGAAAAAUUGUAUGGUCUGUUUAGGCCGAGAGUAUUUUGUGUUCUUCCAGCUCUUAUCUACUCUACCAUUUCACUGAAACAAACAGAAUAACAGGCAACGGUGAACAAGAUGAGGAUCGGAGCAUUGGGAAUGGUGCAGAAAACUCCAUCGUCGAACUCCAUUUUCCGGCGUACCAGCAACGUCAGACCUACUGUUAGAUGCUUUUCCUCUUCCGGUCAUGUAUCAUUUAUCAAGGAUGUAGCCGUAACUGAGCCUCCUGCGAAUCUUCAUCACUUGCUUAAAAUGCUUCAAACUAGAGGUGAAACCAUUGUUUCUCCUGGAUCCAAGGAAGGAUUAAUCCCCCUUGUAGUUCCCCUAUCAAAAAAUCUUUCAGGUUCUGUAACUGCGUUGCUACGAUGGCCAACUGCUCCUCCGGGAAUGGAGAUGCCAGUUGUGGAAGUUCGCAAGCAUGGAGUGUGGCUUUUAGCCAAGAAUGUAGAUCAAUAUAUACAUAGAAUAUUGGUUGAAGAAGAUGCCAGCUACUCCGGUGGAAGCAAUGGCGAACUCUAUAAUGCUUCUUCAGAGGCUGGUGAGAAACUAUACAGAAGAGGUGAUUUUGCUGAGUCUCAGAUUGCUAAAGUUGACCAAUACAUCUUGAAAAAGGUUGGGCUGUUCCCCGAUAUCUUAGAACAUAAAGUUAGGGGUCACUUUGAGCAAGAGGACCACGUUUCAGCAAUGGUGACAGGAGAGUUCUAUACGAGGAAGAACUUAUUUCCAGGAUUUGGCCGGCCUUUUGUAUUCUAUGCAGAGGUUUUGCUGAAAGUUGGACGAACCUCAGAAGCUAAAGACGCUGCAAGGGUAGCUUUGAAGUCACCAUGGUGGACUUUAGGUUGUGCUUACCAGAUUUUUAUGAUCAACCACUUCCAACAUUCCCACUUGUCCCGUUUGGUGUGGGAAUUACUGUUAAUCUUGUUAAGGAAGUUGCCAGCCUUGCGCAAUGGGACGAUGAGCAGAUUGAAUACAUCAAGGAGAAGGUGAGUGAAGAGGGUAAACAAGCAGAUUUGAAGAAAGGAAAGGCUCCCGCCCAGAUUGCAUUGGACGAGGCUGCUUUUUUAUUGGAUUUAGCUUCCAUAGAAGGAACUUGGGAUGAAGUGAUAGAACGAAUAGCAGAAUCUUAUAGCGAGGCUGGAUUUUAUGAUAUUGCAAAAUUUAUACGGUACAAAGAUUGAUAGUCGACCAAGUAAGGAUCGCGAUUUAUAUUUGAUAAUCCUAUUUUUCUGUUCA
Mercurialis annua (annual mercury) is the source of this 1265-nucleotide RNA transcript. It is a transcript of the gene named protein IN CHLOROPLAST ATPASE BIOGENESIS, chloroplastic, with no coding region annotated. NCBI's taxonomy places the organism in Eukaryota, Viridiplantae, Streptophyta, Magnoliopsida, Malpighiales, Euphorbiaceae. The record is from RefSeq and is a predicted model, not a curated record. The transcript is spliced from 11 exons.